Molecule: non-coding RNA, 1064 nt
Organism: Sturnus vulgaris (Common starling)
Lineage: Eukaryota; Metazoa; Chordata; Aves; Passeriformes; Sturnidae
Source: RefSeq, a predicted model, not a curated record
AGGGUGUGACUCUUGGUGUGUCCUGUGCAGGGCCAGGAGUUAGAUUCGAUGGCUCCUGUGCAUCCCGUAGAACUGUGGUUCUGUGGCCAGGGAGCAGCAUGGCUCAGCCCCACGACUCUCGCUCACCCUUGUUUUUUGGUUAAAGUUGGGCAAUCGGGGAAGGUAGAAGAGGAUGCUGCCACAGAUUCCCUCAGCACCACCAGAAAGACCCUUUGGGCCCAGACAGCAAUUGCGUUUUGUCUUGUCCUUGUAGUCAUAAGUCUAUUGUGCAUGCUUUUUUAUAGAUCAACUUUUCCAGUUUUCUUCCUUCUCUCUUAUCCCACCUCAGCAGCCACAAACAUUAUCUAACUCCAAACCAACUCUGUGAUGGUGUCCAGCCUACAGAGACACUUGACCCCAGCACUGAAGCAGCUCAGGGCAGAGACUUCACAGCCCCAUCCAGAGAACCUGCACCUUUACUAAACCACUGCAGGUAUAACAGGAACAAAUCAAGGAAUUUUGGAGCUGAUUAAGAACAGUACAGUCAUCUUGUUCAUGACCUUCACCAUUUGUAAGACAAGCUAAACCCAGAAUAUAUCACAUUUGAACAACUUGCCAGCUAGUCAAGACUAGCAGAAGGAAAGUGGUGAUUUUCAAGUUCAAAAAGAAAGUAGAGUCCAAUGUAACAACAGCUGCCUUUGUGGGAGAGUCUGUUUGUCCAGUGCUGAAUUCCAAUGAAUUUCAAACAGCACUGGUCAAAGUGCAAAGAUCCAUCCUGUUUGAGCUGACUGAAGACCUGGGGACAAACUAAUCAGGUCUGAUCCAAGGACCGCUGUGCAUUUCCAGGAAGCAAAUAACACUUCUAAAUGGCAGCAUCUGUCUGAAGAGAAGACAUUAAUUCAAACCUUUUAGGCUAAACAUUUACAGAGAAGCAGAAAGUCCCAGUCAGAGCAAGAAUGUGAAAAAGUAAGUAAAAUGUUAUCUUGUUAUAAAAUGUGUCUUGAUUGGCAAACUGUAAGUAUGGAUCAAAGCAGUAAUAUGCUGGAGAAAGAGCUAGAUACAGCAGAGCGUAGGCAUCAGUAUUU